GAUGAACGCUGGCGGCAGGCCUAACACAUGCAAGUCGAACGGUAGCACAGAGGAGCUUGCUCCUUGGGUGACGAGUGGCGGACGGGUGAGUAAUGUCUGGGAAACUGCCCGAUGGAGGGGGAUAACUACUGGAAACGGUAGCUAAUACCGCAUAACGUCUUCGGACCAAAGUGGGGGACCUUCGGGCCUCACACCAUCGGAUGUGCCCAGAUGGGAUUAGCUAGUAGGUGGGGUAAUGGCUCACCUAGGCGACGAUCCCUAGCUGGUCUGAGAGGAUGACCAGCCACACUGGAACUGAGACACGGUCCAGACUCCUACGGGAGGCAGCAGUGGGGAAUAUUGCACAAUGGGCGCAAGCCUGAUGCAGCCAUGCCGCGUGUAUGAAGAAGGCCUUCGGGUUGUAAAGUACUUUCAGCGGGGAGGAAGGCGAUGUGGUUAAUAACCGCAUCGAUUGACGUUACCCGCAGAAGAAGCACCGGCUAACUCCGUGCCAGCAGCCGCCGUAA
Molecule: ribosomal RNA, 506 nt
Filed under: uncultured bacterium
Lineage: Bacteria
Description: partial 16S ribosomal RNA
Rfam family: Bacterial small subunit ribosomal RNA
Source: RNAcentral